This 2046-nucleotide ribosomal RNA is filed under the name Triticum aestivum (bread wheat). Its description in RNAcentral is "partial small subunit ribosomal RNA". Lineage: Eukaryota; Viridiplantae; Streptophyta; Magnoliopsida; Poales; Poaceae. The record is from RNAcentral.
AUGUCCCGAGGCGCUGGUGCACGGGUGGUGUCGCCCACGCUCUGUACCUAUUCCAUCCUCAUGGACUGCUGCUGCCGCGCAGGCCGCCCGGACUUGGUGGUUGCCUUCUUCGGUCGCCUCAUCAGGUUGGGGCUGCGCUUGGAGGUCAUCUCCGUCAGCAAUCUCCUCAAGGGGCUCUGCCAGGCCAAGCGUACAAAUGAGGCGGUGGCCUUGCUGCUCCACGGGACACCUGAACUGGACUGUGUGCCUAAUGUCUUCUCGUACAGCAUCGUAAUCAACGGCUGUUUUAAAGAAGGUGAAGUAGACAAAGCGUGCAAUCUCUUCCAUGGGAUGAUCCAACUGGGAGUUCAACCUAAUGUGGUCAUCUACACCUCAAUUAUCGAUGCACUAAGCAAGUGCAGAGCCAUGGACAAGGCAGAAGUGGUCCUUCAGCAAAUGGUUGAUCAAGGCAUUGAACCCAACAUCAGGACAUAUACUACCCUGAUACAUGGAUAUUCCGCUUCGGGUCAGUGGAAGGCGGCAGUUAGAGUAUUCAAGGAAAUGGCAAGUGUUGGUGUUCUACCAAAUGCUGUCACUUUGAACUCAUUUAUGGAUUCACUUUGCAAGCAUAGAAGGACAAAGGAAGCUAGAGUUAUUUUUGACUCCAUGGCUGCAAAGGGCCAAAAACCUGAUGUCGUCUCCUACUCUACUAUGCUUAGCGGGUAUGCGAAAGAAGGAUGCUUCGAUGAUAUGACUUGUCUCUUCAAUUCGAUGCUACAGAAUGGUGUUGUACCUAACCACCAUAUUUUCAACAUACUGAUCAAUGCAUAUGCUAAACGUGGACUGAUGGAUGCGGCUAUGCACAUGUUCGAAGUAAUGAGGCAACAAGGAGUAAACCCAGAUGUAUUUAGCUAUCAAAUUGUAAUGGAUUCACUUUGCAAAAUGGGUAGGAUGGAUGCUGCUCUGGACAAAUUUAAUCAGAUGGUCAAUCAAGGAGUUUCACCUGACAUAGUUGUUUACCGAUGCCUAGUUCUGGGUUCUUGCUCUCAUGGUGAUUUUGAGAAAGCCAAGGAAUUGAUUUCUGAAGCAGUUAAUAGAGGUCUGUGUUCUAACAGUGUGUUCUUCUAUCCUGUAAUAAACGACCUGUGCAAAGAAGGAAAGGUGAAGGAGGCACAGGAUAUGUUUGACUUCAUUGUAGGUAUUGGUCAGCGGCCUGAUGUGAUUAUGUACAAUUCACUGAUGGAUGGAUAUUGCCUUGUUGGCAAAGUGGAGGAAGCACUGAGAGUACUUGAUGCUAUGAAGUCUGUUGGCCUCCAACCUGAUGCUUUUACGUACGGUAUACUUCUUAAUGGCUACUGUAAAAUUGGCAAGAUCGCCGAUGGAUUGAGUCUUUUCAGGGAAAUGUCACUCAACGGGGUUAAGCCCAUGACUAUUAUGUACAACAUUAUACUCCAUGGGUUGUUUUUCUCCGGGAGAACAGUUUCUGCAAAGGAAAUAUUCCAUACGAUGAAUGCAAGUGGCAUACCAGUGGGCGUUGACACAUACAACAUAGUUCUUAGUGGACUUUGUAAAAAUAAUUGCACUGAUGAAGCAAUAGAGCUGUUCAAGAAAUUACGUGCUAUGAACGUGAAGAUUAAUGUCAUAAUACUCAAUACCAUGAUUUCUGCAAUGUUUAAAACUAGGAGAAUUGAAGAAGCCAAGGAUUUGUUUGCUACUAUAUCAGCCAUUGGGUUGGUGCCUUCUGUUGUGACUUACAGUGUAAUGAUGACGAAUUUCAUAAAAGAAGGGUUGUUGGCAGAGGCUGAUGAUAUGUUUUUAGCAAUGGAGAAGGCUAGCUGUGCUCCCAACUCCAGUCUGCUAAAUCAAGUGGUCAGGGCGUUGCUGGAAAAAGGUGCAGUUGUAAAGGCUGCAACUUAUCUCGCUAAACUUGAUGCUAAACAGCUGUCAGUUGAAGCUUCAACGAUUUCGUUAAUAGUAUCUCUCUUCUCAGGGGAAGGGAAACUAAGGGAGCACGUAGAGUUGCUUCCAGUAAAGUACCAGCCUCCUGAGAGUUCGGCUGACAAUUGA